GACGAACGCUGGCGGCGUGCUUAACACAUGCAAGUCGAACGAAGAGCGACGGAAGCUUGCUUCUAUCAAUCUUAGUGGCGAACGGGUGAGUAACGCGUAAUCAACCUGCCCUUCAGAGGGGGACAACAGUUGGAAACGACUGCUAAUACCGCAUACGAUCUAAUCUCGGCAUCGAGGAUGGAUGAAAGGUGGCCUCUACAUGUAAGCUAUCACUGAAGGAGGGGAUUGCGUCUGAUUAGCUAGUUGGAGGGGUAACGGCCCACCAAGGCGAUGAUCAGUAGCCGGUCUGAGAGGAUGCACGGCCACAUUGGGACUGAGACACGGCCCAGACUCCUACGGGAGGCAGCAGUGGGGAAUCUUCCGCAAUGGACGAAAGUCUGACGGAGCAACGCCGCGUGAGUGAUGACGGCCUUCGGGUUGUAAAGCUCUGUUAAUCGGGACGAAAGGCCUUCUUGCGAAUAGUGAGAAGGAUUGACGGUACCGGAAUAGAAAGCCACGGCUAACUACGUG
This 510-nucleotide ribosomal RNA is filed under the name uncultured bacterium. RNAcentral's name for it is "partial 16S ribosomal RNA". It matches the Rfam family "Bacterial small subunit ribosomal RNA", at positions 28 to 507 of the family's 1533-position model. The record is from RNAcentral.